ACAAAGGCUGUGGUUCCUGUUACUCAGCAGCCUCACAAACACACCAACUCCUGCAAGAAGGGACGUGAAUCUUGGAGCUCCUAGCUAUUCUGUUCCUGUUUCCAUCAGCCCCUUCCCUGAAAACUCAGAGGUGCUCAGCAUGCCAUGCUAAAAGCCAAAAUAAAAAGAUCUUGGAGACAUCUCAGGUUUAAUGAGGACUUUCCAGCAUUCCACACUGCUGCCCUGCAAUGAAGCUCUGAGUCAUGGUCUGUGGGAAUAAGGUACUGGCAACAGUGUGAACCCCAGGACAACCAACCUCACUAACCUCCACUCUAAGCAGAAGCCCAAAGUGAGUCUGGUCUGAAAUCAGAGCAAGCACUGCAGAAAGGUAUCUUUGUUAAUGGAAAGAGGAAAGAAGAAAAUAAUUUCCAAUGAGUUACAACAAACUUUCCACCUUUCUAAAGAACCCACCUUCCUUAUCAACGAAGCUGGGCUUCUCUCUAGUGACUCUUAUUCUAGCCUUUCACCAGAAACAGAGAGAGUUAAUCCUGGUGAAAAGAUAAAGACAGACACUCAGAAAAAGAGACCUGGAACUGUAAUACUAUCAAAACCAUCAAGUAGAAGAAGUAUGUCGGAAAGCCAGCUUAGCCGCCCUGUGAUCCCUGCUCGCAGGCCUGGAUUGCGGGUAUGCUAUAUCUGUGGUCGAGAAUUUGGGUCCCAGUCAAUUGCCAUUCAUGAACCCCAGUGCUUACAGAAGUGGCAUAUUGAAAAUAGCAAGUUGCCCAAGCACUUGAGGAGGCCAGAACCCUCCAAACCACAGUCUCUAGGUGGCAGUGGGUCCUCCAGUCUUCAGGCAACGAAUGAGGCUGCAUUUCAGAGUGCCCAGGCUCAGCUGCUGCCCUGUGAAUCCUGUGGCCAUACAUUCUUACCAGAUCGUCUUCUCGUUCAUCAGAGAAGCUGCAAGUCAAAGGGUGAGGGUCCCAGAGCACCACACUCUAAUAGUUCUGAUCACCUUACUGGCCUCAGGAAAGCUCCUGGUGGAACCCCAGCCCGACCAAGGGCUGUUAUCUGCUACAUUUGUGGUAGGGAAUUUGGCACCCUAUCCCUUCCUAUUCAUGAGCCCAAAUGCCUGGAAAAGUGGAAAAUGGAAAAUGACCGGCUUCCCAUGGAGCUCCAGCGGCCACUCCCACAGAAGCCUCAGCCCCUUCUGACUGUGCAGUCCAGCCACGUGUGACCAAGUCAAGAUCAUCUUGUGCCCUGCCCAAACUGUAGCCUAACGUUUGCGUCAGACUGCUUUCUGGUACACCAGAGAAGUUGUAAAACUCAACCUCAUGGGCCAAAAGAUCAAAAUUUGACCUUAGGGAGUAAAGGAGACCUAAAAGGGUCCACUAAUUCCAAGCAGCAGAGGAACAUGGCAGGACCAAUGUAACUGAUAAGAUCAUUCAGGCCACAUAAGAUGCAUUAGGUGAACCCGGUGGCGCCCUCUGCCUGUAGGGGAAUGAGAGAAAACUAUCCCCAGAAUCAGCCACCUCAGCCCCCAGCAUUUUUUCUACCAAUGCCUUAUGUCAGCCUCAAUGCAGCCUGUUCAAGUUAACUCCCUGUUGGACUCCAGGGCCUGUAUCUCUCUUGGCUAAAUAGGUACAAGAACAUCCUUGCCUGAUGGGUUCAUAUUCCUCUUCAAUUCUGCUGUCUAAAAGAAGAAGAAAACGAACUACUUUCUUCCCUGAUCCCUGAUACAAAUAAUCCCUGGGAGACACUGUAAUUUGAAAAUGAGUCAUUAAUGCUGUGUCUACAUUACAGAGAUAUAAUAUAAUUCCCUUCCAACAGCCAAUAUUUAUUGCCGGUUUAUUUUAGUCAUCUACCUUAGGAAUUCAUUUUUGGCAAUGCUGGGUUAUGCUGAGUUUAUCUUACUAAAAUAGAAUCUAUGUCAAAAACCCCAAAUGACUUUAGCAACAAUUAAACACUGAAGCACUCCCAAAAAUA
Molecule: RNA transcript, 1962 nt
Organism: Cebus imitator (Panamanian white-faced capuchin)
Lineage: Eukaryota; Metazoa; Chordata; Mammalia; Primates; Cebidae
Gene name: zinc finger protein 474-like
Exons: 2
Source: RefSeq, a predicted model, not a curated record